GUCUCUUUGAAAAUUAUUUAUAGGGAGUCGGACCUGCCCAGUGACUUAAUUUGUUAAACGGCCGCAGUAUCCUGACUGUGCGAAGGUAGCAUAAUAAUUUGUCCUUUAAUUGGGGGCUAGUAUGAAUGGUUUGACGAGAAUCAAGCUGUCUCUUUUCAAAUUUAUAGAAAUUAACUUUUAGGUGAAGAGGCCUAAAUUUAAUUGAGGGACGAGAAGACCCUGUCGAGCUUUAGUGAAAAUUGAGUGUAUAGGCUAAGUAGUAUUUACCUUGUAUUGUAUAAGGGGAUAGUAUAUUAAAUUUAUUUGGUUAUAAGUCUAGAUAAAUGAUAUAUUAGAUUAGUCUUAGCAUUAUUAUGUAAUUUUGAGCUUAUUUAAUCUUUAGGUGGGACGUCUUAGGAAUAAAGAAAACUUCCUGUUAGUUAAGGGUGAUAUAUUGUUAAAAUUCACAUAUAAGGUACAUUCGGGUUAAUGAUUGAUCCAGUAUUAUUGAUUAAUGGAAAUAGUUACCGUAGGGAUAACAGCGUAAUCUUUCUGGAGAGCUCUUAUUGAAAGAAGGGUUUGCGACCUCGAUGUUGGAUUAAGAUAUCCUGGAGGUGUAGAAGUUUCCAAUGGUUGGUCUGUUCGACCAUUAAAAUCUU
Molecule: ribosomal RNA, 638 nt
Filed under: Liotina ryukuensis
Lineage: Eukaryota; Metazoa; Mollusca; Gastropoda; Trochida; Turbinidae
Description: partial 16S ribosomal RNA
Rfam family: Bacterial large subunit ribosomal RNA
Source: RNAcentral